CCUACGGGCGGCAGCAGUGGGAAUAUUGGACAAUGGGGGGAACCCUGAUCCAGCCAUGCCGCGUGUGUGAAGAAGGCCCUCGGGUUGUAAAGCACUUUCAGUGAGGAAGAACGCCUGGUGGUUAAUACCCAUCAGGAAAGACAUCACUCACAGAAGAAGCACCGGCUAACUCCGUGCCAGCAGCCGCGGUAAUACGGAGGGUGCGAGCGUUAAUCGGAAUUACUGGGCGUAAAGCGCGCGUAGGUGGCUUGAUAAGCCGGUUGUGAAAGCCCCGGGCUCAACCUGGGAACGGCAUCCGGAACUGUCAAGCUAGAGUGCAGGAGAGGAAGGUAGAAUUCCCGGUGUAGCGGUGAAAUGCGUAGAGAUCGGGAGGAAUACCAGUGGCGAAGGCGGCCUUCUGGACUGACACUGACACUGAGGUGCGAAAGCGUGGGUAGCAAACAGGAUUAGAUACCCCAGUAGUC
RNAcentral lists this ribosomal RNA (464 nucleotides) under Vreelandella stevensii. RNAcentral's name for it is "partial 16S ribosomal RNA". It matches the Rfam family "Bacterial small subunit ribosomal RNA", at positions 338 to 795 of the family's 1533-position model. Lineage: Bacteria; Pseudomonadati; Pseudomonadota; Gammaproteobacteria; Oceanospirillales; Halomonadaceae. The record is from RNAcentral.